RNAcentral lists this transfer RNA (64 nucleotides) under Barleria siamensis. Its description in RNAcentral is "tRNA-His". It matches the Rfam family "tRNA", at positions 1 to 60 of the family's 71-position model. Rfam says of the family: Transfer RNA (tRNA) molecules are approximately 80 nucleotides in length. The record is from RNAcentral. Lineage: Eukaryota; Viridiplantae; Streptophyta; Magnoliopsida; Lamiales; Acanthaceae.
GGCGGAUGUAGCCAAGUGGAUCAAGGCAGUGGAUUGUGAAUCCACGAUGCGCGGGUUCAAUUCC